This 450-nucleotide ribosomal RNA is filed under the name uncultured bacterium. RNAcentral describes it as "bacterial SSU rRNA". It matches the Rfam family "Bacterial small subunit ribosomal RNA", at positions 354 to 796 of the family's 1533-position model. The record is from RNAcentral.
GUGGGGAAUUUUGGACAAUGGGCGCAAGCCUGAUCCAGCAAUGCCGCGUGCAGGAAGAAGGCCUUCGGGUUGUAAACUGCUUUUGUACGGAACGAAAAGACUCCUUCUAAUAAAGGGGGUCCAUGACGGUACCGUAAGAAUAAGCACCGGCUAACUACGUGCCAGCAGCCGCGGUAAUACGUAGGGUGCAAGCGUUAAUCGGAAUUACUGGGCGUAAAGCGUGCGCAGGCGGUUAUAUAAGACAGAUGAGAAAUCCCCGGGCUCAACCUGGGAACUGCAUUUGUGACUGUAUAGCUAGAGUACGGUAGAGGGGGAUGGAAUUCCGCGUGUAGCAGUGAAAUGCGUAGAUAUGCGGAGGAACACCGAUGGCGAAGGCAAUCCCCUGGACCUGUACUGACGCUCAUGCACGAAAGCGUGGGGAGCAAACAGGAUUAGAAACCCUUGUAGUCC